AACGAACGCUGGCGGCAUGCCUAACACAUGCAAGUCGAACGAGACCUUCGGGUCUAGUGGCGCACGGGUGCGUAACGCGUGGGAACCUGCCCUUAGGUUCGGAAUAACUCCCCGAAAGGGGUGCUAAUACCGGAUAAUUUCUUCGGACCAAAGAUUUAUCGCCUUUGGAUGGGCUCGCGUUGGAUUAGCUAGUUGGUAGGGUAAAAGCCUACCAAGGCGACGAUCCAUAGCUGGUCUGAGAGGAUGCUCAGCCACACUGGGACUGAGACACGGCCCAGACUCCUACGGGAGGCAGCAGUGGGGAAUAUUGGACGAUGGGCGAAAGCCUGAUAAAGCAAUGCCGCGUGAGUGAUGAAGGCCUUAGGGUUGUAAAGCUAUUUUACCCGGGAUGAUAAUGACAGUACCGGGAGAAUAAGCUCCGGCUAACUACGUG
This 433-nucleotide ribosomal RNA is filed under the name uncultured bacterium. RNAcentral describes it as "partial 16S ribosomal RNA". It matches the Rfam family "Bacterial small subunit ribosomal RNA", at positions 29 to 507 of the family's 1533-position model. The record is from RNAcentral.